UUACUAGAGUAGCACUCGCAUAUCAAUAAGCGGAGGAAAAGAAACUAACAAGGAUUCCCCUAGUAACGGCGAGUGAAGCGGGAAGAGCUCAAAUUUGAAAUCUUAAAGGGUUUCCCUUUACGAAUUGUAGUUUAAAGAAGUGUUUUCUGUCGAGGUUUUGGUAAAAGUUCUUUGGAAUAGGGACAUCAUAGAGGGUGAGAAUCCCGUAUUUGACCUUUACUUUCAACUUUGUGAUACACUUUCAAAGAGUCGGAUUGUUUGGGAAUGCAGUCCAAAAUGGGUGGUAAAUUUCAUCUAAAGCUAAAUAUUGGCGAGAGACCGAUAGCGAACAAGUACCGUGAGGGAAAGAUGAAAAGAACUUUGAAAAGAGAGCUAAACAGUACGUGAAAUUGUCAAAAGGGAAGCGUUUGACACCAGUGUUGUUUUUCUGAAAAUCAAUUAAAGAACUGUUUAUGCUAAGUUGUUUAGACUUUAUCAGCUAUCUGCUUAGUUUUGAGCUUUUCUUUAAUGCACUUUUCAGUUAACAAGUCAACAUCAAUUUCUUUUGCUGUAAAAAAGCUUGAGGAAGGUGGCUUGAGAUUCGUCUUAAGUGUUUAUAGCCUCUUGCCUAUGCAGUCGGAGAGAUUGAGGUCUGCAGCGUAGAUCCUUCGGGGCUAAAUGCAUUUGUGCUAAGUUAUAGCAUUUUAUAGACAACUUGUUGACUAUGAUUUGUCUUGUAGCUUACUCGCUUAUGUUAUUUUACCUACGCUUAGGAUGUUGAACUCUAUCACACACAG
Molecule: ribosomal RNA, 776 nt
Filed under: uncultured Neocallimastigales
Lineage: Eukaryota; Fungi; Neocallimastigomycota; Neocallimastigomycetes; Neocallimastigales
Description: partial large subunit ribosomal RNA
Rfam family: Eukaryotic large subunit ribosomal RNA
Source: RNAcentral